AUUGAACGCUGGCGGCAUGCCUUACACAUGCAAGUCGAACGGUACCGCGGGGCAACCUGGCGACGAGUGGCGUACGGGUGAGUAAUGCAUCGGAACGUGCCCAGUAGCGGGGGAUAGCCCGGCGAAAGCCGGGUUAAUACCGCAUGAGACCUGAGGGUGAAAGCGAGGGAUCGCCAGACCUCGCGCUUUUGGAUCGGCCGAUGUCAGAUUAGCUAGGUGGUGGGGGAAAGGCGUACCAAGGCGACGAUCUGUAGCUGGUCUGAGAGGACGACCAGCCACACGGGGACUGAGGCACGGCCCAGACUCCUACGGGAGGAAGCAGUCGGGAAUCUUGCACAAGGGGCGAGAGCCGGAUCCAGCCAUGCCGCGGGCGGGAAGAAGGACUUCGGGUGGUAAACCGCUGAUGUCAGGGAAGAAACACUCUGGGCUAAUACCCUGGGGUAAUGACGGUACCUGAAGAAUAAGCACCGGCUAACUACGUG
Molecule: ribosomal RNA, 482 nt
Filed under: uncultured bacterium
Lineage: Bacteria
Description: partial 16S ribosomal RNA
Rfam family: Bacterial small subunit ribosomal RNA
Source: RNAcentral